AUGAGGAAAGGAUUGGCAGAUUAAGACAUGGUCUGGAGAUAAACAAGUUACAUCUUGUUUUGUCACGUUCCCAUAGCAAGCAGGAAAACAAGUCAGUCAAAAACCUCCCAAUAAAUGUUAAAAAGUAUUUCCCUUUGUGUACCUCAGUUCUGUAUUGGUUUCUCUCAUUUUUGCAUCCCUAGCAAAAGAAAGAAGAGUUGCUGAUUUCACUUUACAUACCAAUAUUUGCAGGUUUCACCUUCAUGACCUUAAAAGAGAGUUUCCACAUGUCUACCCAGUAUCAUUUUUAUUUAGAUAAAAGAAGAUGCUUUUAAAGCAGAGAAGCCUCCCAGAAACUACCUCACUCAUGUGAUCUGCAUUGACAUCAACAAUAGAACAAAUUACUAUCGUGUGCCUCCUGGGACGCCGAGAAAGACACAAUAUCACUCCUAUAGCAUUCAUGUGUAACUCUGAUCUAAUCAUAAGGAAACUACCAGACAGACCUAAAUUUAAGAAUAUUCUACAAAACAACUCUCUUUGCCUUUCAAAAAAUGUCAAUGUCAUGAAAGCCUGUUCCAGAUUGAGGGCACAAAAGAGACAAGACAAUUAAAUGCAGAGGAUGACCCUGGAUUGGACCCUGGAUCAAAGAAAAAAUGGUGCAAAGAUUGCAGCCUGCUGCCUGGCCAUUCUGCAGGCUGGGAAGCACAGCCUCUGGUAGAAACUGGAAGGGAGCACUUCAGAGAAGGAAGGAUAAGACGGGAACUGAAGCUGAACAGGAUACUGACUCCUUCUGCCUCCAUGCUAAAUACACUUGGCUGGUUAUCAAUGUGAUUGAAUAUCGUGAUGGACAAUUUGAUGUGUCAACAUGGCGAGGCCACAGUUCCUAGUUAUUCAAUCAAAUAGUUGUCUAAGUGUUGCUGGGAAGGUACUUUGUAGAUAUAAGUCCAUAAUCAGUUGAUUUUAAGUAAGAGAUAUUAUCAUAGAUAAGCUGAUCAGGCCUGAUCCAAUCACAUAAAAGGUUUCAAGAGAAGGAGCUCAGGCUCCCUGAAGAAGAAAUACUGCCUGAGGACAGAGUCUCAGCCCGUGUUUUAGAGUCUCAGCUUCCUGAAAACUUGCUCCCCAGAUUCUAGACCUACCCAACCAGACAUCACAGUUGCCCAAGCUGAGUCCUUGCAGUAAAUCUCUCAGUAAGUUGCUCUUACUCUUUCUAUUUUUUGUAUGAACCUUGCUAAUACAAACUUUUUAAAGUUUUAAUUUUGUGAAUUUCCCAUUUAUUUUCCUUGCCUGUAUUUUUAUUGGCGUAUGCUUCUGUUUAUUAUAAAUGGGAUAAGUUCUUUAUUAGGUAGCUUUUUUUCCCCAUCCCCACCACCAUUUCCAAAUGCAUAGGCUAGAGAAUCUGAUGGCUCAUUUUAGGUCGGCAGCUUACCCCUGGUUCAGUCACCCAUGAACAGGGUAAUGGGAUCAAGCUACCCAAACUGGCUUUUCAGGGCCCCUUCUGUGAACCCCUCUUGAGUGAGGUAUGAAAAGAACACUUUCUAGGAGAAGGAGUCCUUGCCUCUUGGGCUGUACAGAACACUACAUUUGAAAUCUUGACUAAACUAUAUAAAACAAACUUGUCUGUUGAACACCUCAGGCAAGGUAUAGAUCACCUUUCUAUAAAAUACAAGGCUAUGAUCAUUAAAAAAAAAUUGUUUCCACUAUUAAAUAUAUUCUGGAGGUGGACAUCUGUUGUUUUCUAUUUGGCAGCAAUGCCCCACUCCCAUUCCUGCUAAGAACAGCACCCUGAAUUUUCUUUGUGAAGGGACCUUUCUUUCAUUCUCAGUCAUGUGGCUCACACAGAAUGCUAAUGUCUUCUUGUCCAUAGCCUUUCAGAGCUGGAUGCGUAAGUCAAGCAGCAUCGAUGCCAAUGACCUGUGAGGAAACAUUUAAGGAGGAGACACUACCUCUCUUUUCUGAAGAAUCAAAUAGGUGACUCGUUCUAAUUCUCUUGGGUGUGUGAAAGGAGGAUGAGAGCUUUGAACCUACAGCUACUGUUUAGUAACUGUGAGGAGAUGUCCUGAGAUUUCCAAAUAGGUCUCUGUCUGAGGACGUAGUCAGUAUUUAGAAAACAGAACAGAGGGAUAAAGAGAAAAAUCAUCUGUUGCAUGACUAAAGUUGCUGGAUCUAGCCUCACCUGAAGAGAUGUAUCUUGGACUUUUCUGUUACAUGACCUGACAUCUUCUCUUUAUAUUAAUCUACUUACUUGGACUUUUCAUGACUUGAAAUUAAAUAUUUUUGUGGACACAAUUUUUCAUGUGGACUUAUGUAUUCAAUUUUAGCUGAAUCAUCCAUAAAAAAUAUUUUUGUAAAUGGUUCAUCAAAUACUCCAAGUUAAUGCUUACUUUUAUCUUUCUUUCCCUUAAUCUGAAAACUGCACAAUUCAAUAUAUUUUAUUUUGAAAAUAAAACAUUGAGUUUUUAUGCCAAGGGUUGUGACAUACUAGGAAGAAAGAAAUCCAACAGCCA
Long non-coding RNA from Papio anubis (olive baboon), 2483 nucleotides. The record is from Ensembl. Lineage: Eukaryota; Metazoa; Chordata; Mammalia; Primates; Cercopithecidae.